Molecule: ribosomal RNA, 512 nt
Filed under: uncultured bacterium
Lineage: Bacteria
Description: partial 16S ribosomal RNA
Rfam family: Bacterial small subunit ribosomal RNA
Source: RNAcentral
UAGGGAAUCUUCGGCAAUGGACGAAAGUCUGACCGAGCAACGCCGCGUGAGUGAAGAAGGUUUUCGGAUCGUAAAACUCUGUUGGUAGAGAAGAACGUUGGUGAGAGUGGAAAGCUCAUCAAGUGACGGUAACUACCCAGAAAGGGACGGCUAACUACGUGCCAGCAGCCGCGGUAAUACGUAGGUCCCGAGCGUUGUCCGGAUUUAUUGGGCGUAAAGCGAGCGCAGGUGGUUUAUUAAGUCUGGUGUAAAAGGCAGUGGCUCAACCAUUGUAUGCAUUGGAAACUGGUAGACUUGAGUGCAGGAGAGGAGAGUGGAAUUCCAUGUGUAGCGGUGAAAUGCGUAGAUAUAUGGAGGAACACCGGUGGCGAAAGCGGCUCUCUGGCCUGUAGCUGACACUGAGGCUCGAAAGCGUGGGGAGCAAACAGGAUUAGAUACCCUGGUAGUCCACGCCGUAACGAUGAGUGCUAGAUGUAGGGAGCUAUAAGUUCUCUGUAUCGCAGCUAACGCAA